ACAGUUAAUAAAGUAACAAUACAUUGUUUGCCAACAAGCGCAUAUGGCCUUAUGAGGUUGCCAUCAAAGCAAGGAAUAUAACUUAUUGUUGUAAAAGCAAUCUAAAAGUUUUAGUUCAUGAAACUAACAUUAGCAUUGCAUUGUGGAAAGAAAUAUUUCAGUUGUACAAAUUGCAAAUUUAGUGAGUUAAAAGAGACCAAUCAAUUAGGUUGAUAAAUUUACAAUACAGCUUCUCCCGUGUCAAUAAGCAGUGCCGCCAUUCACCAAACGAGCAUAUCCUCUUCAAAAGAAUAAAAAUAUUGGAUAAAUAACUAUUUUUAUCCAUGAAUAUAUAAUUUAUUGAUAAAUAUAUUUUAAAAGAUAAAAAUAUAAAAUUUAAUUCCUGAAGGUGUAAAAAAAUACAAAAAAUAUAUUAUAUUGUUAAUUUUCAUCCACCAUUUAUAAAAUAACUUACAUGGUAUAGAAGGACGAAUUUAUUACUAAAAUGAUUGUCAAUAUGACUUGCUAAUUAGAUUGAACAAAAAUGUCAAUAAAAUAUCAUUUUUGGAUGUAAAUGUCAGUAAUUUUUUGUUGGAAGAAAAUGUCAAUAUUUUUUUAUUGGAGAAAAAUGUCAAUAAUUUUUUUUGACCUAAAUGUCAAUACGUUCCAUUGGACCAAAAAUGUUAAUAAGUUAUCAUUAUUAGACGAAAAUAUCAAUAAUUUUUUAUUGAACCUAAAUAUUAGUAUAUUUCUAUUGGAUUAAUUUGUUAGACCCAAAACUUCAUUUAAGGGUAAAAUAUAGUUUUAUGAUAAAUUUUUGUCAUUUUUUAUCGUUACAAGCAUAACAUUAUAAUAAUCAUUUAACAAAUAUAUUGACAAACAUAAUUUAAAACAAACAUAAUAAUAAUAAUAAUAAUAAUAAUAAUAAUAAUAAUAAUAUUGAUUAUUAACCAUAAUUUGUCUGUCACAAUAAAAAUUAUCCAAAAUAAACAUUGUACCGGUUUACCAAAAUAAAACAUUGUAACAGUAUACCAAUCAUUAUAAAUUUUUCCAAAUUACCCUAAAAGAUAAAUAUAUCCCAUAUUUCACUUCUUCGAAUCUUGGUUAUUUUUAUUAAUGAUGACGGACGGAAGUUAAUGACCAAAUAUAUUUGUCAUACUUUUUACACUUUAGAUUAAAUUUUAUAUUUUCAUCUUUUAAGGACGCAUUCAAAGAUAAUUACACAUUCAAAGAUAAAAGUGGAUAUUUGCCCAUUCAUAUGCCUAAAGAGUAGAAAGACGAAAAGUUAAGAAAAUAUUAUAUGACAAAUAUAUUCCUAUAUUGGUAAUUAGAAAUGAUCAUGUUAACAAUUCAGUGACAAAUUCGUUUUUCUGUGUCACGUAGGCUAUUUUAUUAACGGUGACGGACUAAAGUUAACGGUAAGAUAUAUUUAUCGUACGUUUUACACUUUCAGGACUAAAUUUUUUACUUUCAACUUUUAGGGAUGUAUUUAUCAAUAAAUUAUAUAUUUAGGGACAAAAUUGACUAUUUACCAAAAAUAUUUAUUAACUUUUUUAAUCAUAGUAUUGAUAUUAAGUUUGAACAUACAUAUGGAAGUAAUUUCUUUUCAUUAUUUCGUUCAAAAACCACCCGAAUCUUAUGCCAACGUUGAUUUUAUCAUUUUAAAAAAAUAGUAAAAUAAGAAUGUUAGCGAAUCAUUACGGUUUGAACAAGGUUUGGCUUUGGAGGUACAAAAUAAUAAUUUAUCCCAACACCUAGAAAAAAAAAUAAUAAGUAAAAGAUAUACCACAUUAAUUUUAAUUUGACUAAAUUCUUAUUUUCGUCCACUAAAAGGCAAACAUUGUCGCUUUAUUUUUUAAUAUUUUUAAAAAAUAUAUAUUUCGAUUUAAUACUCCAAUAAUAGUAUAAUACAAAGUCUACUUAAUUUAAUUUCUUGAUUAUAUCAAAUUUCAUGAAAUUAAUUCGUUAAUUAGUGUUUCGUUACAUUCGUGUAUCUCAAUUCAAUGAAAGAAAAUCAAUUUUGAAAAAUAAAAAUAAAACUAACCAAAUAUGCAAGAAUAAUUUAAUUUGAAUAAAUGAUUAUUUCGUUUUUUUAAAUAAAUCAAUUUAAACACGACUAAGUCCUUCAAAUUAACAUCACUGUGAAGGUUCAAUCACGGCAUAAGUUAUUCAAGCUAGUCCACGUCCAAGCAAAACACAUUUUGUGUAAAAAUGUAAACAAAUGUUUAUGAAAUAUAAAUAUGUAAAUAACUUGUAAAAUUAAUUUUUAUGUAUUAUUAUUGUAAAAAAAAUUAAUCAAUUAAAAAUCAUUAUUAUUAUUAUAUUUUAAAUAAUUAUUAUAAGUUUAUAAGUAUAAAACCUUUUGCACAAUCGGUGUCAUGUUAUUAGUACUAUUUUGACUAAAGUAUAAUUUUUAUUUUCCUAUUUUUUUAAUUUGCAAAUUUAAUCUACAUAUUUUUUAAAUGAGAUUUUAUUUUUUAUUUUAAAAAAAUUACAAUUUAAUAUCCUAUUUUUUAGUUGAGACAUUUUAUUCUUAUGUUUUGAAAACCUGUUAUUUUAAUUCUUUUGGUCAAUUUUAGACCGGUUGAUAGUAUAUUUUUUUGUAUUUUUAAUAAAUUAAGUUUAUUAAUAAUUAAAUAAUUUUUAAAAAAUAUUUAUCAUGUGCAUAAUAAAUAAACACUCGCCGAUCAACAUUUACAUAGUACAUAAAUUAAUGUUUAAAAUUAGGCACAUGAACUAAAAUUACUAAAUUUUUAAAAUGAGAAACAAAAUAUCUUAAUUAAAAAUAGAGACUAAAAUGGUACACUUUUAAAAAGUGAUGAUAAAAUAUCUCAAUUAAAAAAAAAUUAAAAACACAAAUUAAAAAAAUGAGAAAACAAAAAUUGCAUUUUAAUUUAUAAUUUUUUUAUAAACUUCUAUACUUCUACCACCAAAGAAAAAAUUAGUCAACUCGCAAAAAAUGUAAUGUAUGUCGUGUCAUUUAUAUACAAAUUAUUAAUUAAAUAAAAAGUUAACAAAUUCCGGUUCUCCGCAAAACGCCGGUCACGUAUCACUCGGGGAAUAGACUUGGUAAUCAAACACUAUUAAAAAAAAUAGUAAAAUAAUAAAUAAAUAAAAUAAAAAAAGCUACUAGUAGCAAGUACGAGUAAGAAACUAGACCACAAACAUUCAAUGAACCAAUAAUGAUCUACCCAAAAUGCAAGAAACCAAUAAUGUGGUCUAGUUUCUUACAUCAAUUAAUCAUUAUUAUCUUAUCUUAAAUAUCUAAACCAAAGUCAACACCCUUCUAAUUACAAACCAUUAAAAUUUCAUCAAAACCAUUAACCAUUUCUCUUUCCCCUACCAUUAUCUUAAUGUUUGUUCACCAGCGCAUGCUAAAAAAAAAAACACAUUUUUCUUCAUCAGAAAUAAAAAAAUAAAUCAUUUAAUAUUUAUUUUUAAGUAAUUAAAAACAUUUAAUAAGAUGCACUUAAUACCCUCAAAUUCAUUUAUGAACACACAUUAAAAAACUUUUUUUUUCUCUCAUCACAACAAGUAUUAGGUAUCACAGUUACUUUUUUUUUCUGAUUUUUUUCUAUUUUGAUCAAUUAACUAAGUAACUAACAAACAAACCAUUUUAAAAUUAAUAGAUAAUAAUAGCAAUAAUAAGAAGAAACACCUAAAAAGGUAUUGUAAUCCCGCAAACCCUUUUCCUUAUCCAACUUGUUUAACAAAACAAAGCUGUUCCUCCGUCUUUUUUCCAUCAACCCAAGUAACUAAAUUUCUUUGACCCUCUCUUGCUUCUCUCUCUAAAUUCUUACACCCUCUCUCUCUCUUCCUUUUUCUCUUAUUCCCAUUUUUCCAAUUCUCUCACGUUGAGAAACCCUCACUAAGCAACCUUUUUUACUCUUUCUAUAUUUGUUUUUGCAAGAACAAGACAAAGCUUCUCCCUUUAAAUUAUCCGUCAGAUCCCCCCUCUCUAUUUCUCUUUCUCUCUCACAACGACACCAUUGCUUGGGUGCAUAAUAAUAUAAAAGUCCAAAACGGUAUCGUAUUUUAAAUAAAACGUAAUAAAUGAGGUGUAAGAAACACUUACCGGACCUCACCAGCACCAUCGGCGUGUGCGCUUCGUGCCUCCGCGAACGCCUCCAGCCUCUCCUCGCAGCCCAGGCCCAAGCCCAGGCCCAAUCAGAACGUUCCACCACCAAUUCCAACGUGGAUAAUAAUCAUCGUCGAAGAAAGCCC
This 4203-nucleotide long non-coding RNA is filed under the name Glycine max (soybean). Its description in RNAcentral is "long non-coding RNA (GMAX_LNC000603)". The record is from RNAcentral. Lineage: Eukaryota; Viridiplantae; Streptophyta; Magnoliopsida; Fabales; Fabaceae.